RNAcentral lists this ribosomal RNA (490 nucleotides) under uncultured bacterium. Its description in RNAcentral is "partial 16S ribosomal RNA". It matches the Rfam family "Bacterial small subunit ribosomal RNA", at positions 30 to 507 of the family's 1533-position model. The record is from RNAcentral.
AUUGAACGCUGGCGGCAGGCCUAACACAUGCAAGUCGAACGGUAACAGGAAGAAGCUUGCUUCUUUGCUGACGAGUGGCGGACGGGUGAGUAAUGUCUGGGAAACUGCCUGAUGGAGGGGGAUAACUACUGGAAACGUUAGCUAAUACCGCAUAACGUCGCAAGCCCAAAGAGGGGGACCUUCGGGCCUCUUGCCAUCGGAUGUGCCCAGAUGGGAUUAGCUAGUAGGUGGGGUAACGGCUCACCUAGGCGACGAUCCCUAGCUGGUCUGAGAGGAUGACCAGCCACACUGGAACUGAGACACGGUCCAGACUCCUACGGGAGGCAGCAGUGGGGAAUAUUGCACAAUGGGCGCAAGCCUGAUGCAGCCAUGCCGCGUGUAUGAAGAAGGCCUUCGGGUUGUAAAGUACUUUCAGCGGGGAGGAAGGGAGUAAAGUUAAUACCUGUGCUCAUUGACGUUACCCGCAGAAGAAGCACCGGCUAACUCCGUG